This 253-nucleotide ribosomal RNA is filed under the name uncultured bacterium. Its description in RNAcentral is "partial 16S ribosomal RNA". It matches the Rfam family "Bacterial small subunit ribosomal RNA", at positions 334 to 604 of the family's 1533-position model. The record is from RNAcentral.
CUGUCCUACGGGGGGCAGCAGUGGGGAAUAUUGCACAAUGGGGGGAACCCUGAUGCAGCGACGCCGCGUGAGUGAAGAAGUAUUUCGGUAUGUAAAGCUCUAUCAGCAGGGAAGAAAAUGACGGUACCUGACUAAGAAGCCCCGGCUAACUACGUGCCAGCAGCCGCGGUAAUACGUAGGGGGCAAGCGUUAUCCGGAUUUACUGGGUGUAAAGGGAGCGUAGACGGCAGCGCAAGUCUGGAGUGAAAUCCCA